AACACUAGGUGUCGGGAGGAAUUUCGGUGCCGGCGCAAACGCAAUAAGUGUUCCGCCUGGGGAGUACGUUCGCAAGAAUAAAACUCAAAGGAAUUGACGGGGACCCGCACAAGUAGCGGAGCAUGUGGUUUAAUUCGAAGCAACGCGAAGAACCUUACCUAAGCUUGACAUGGGGAUGAAAAGCAAUGUAAAGUUGUAAUGAUACCUUUUAGGUAUACAUCCCACACAGGUGGUGCAUGGCUGUCGUCAG
Molecule: ribosomal RNA, 250 nt
Filed under: uncultured bacterium
Lineage: Bacteria
Description: partial 16S ribosomal RNA
Rfam family: Bacterial small subunit ribosomal RNA
Source: RNAcentral